RNAcentral lists this ribosomal RNA (449 nucleotides) under uncultured bacterium. Its description in RNAcentral is "partial 16S ribosomal RNA". It matches the Rfam family "Bacterial small subunit ribosomal RNA", at positions 29 to 523 of the family's 1533-position model. The record is from RNAcentral.
AACGAACGCUGGCGGUAGGCUUAACACAUGCAAGUCGAACGAGAUCUUCGGAUCUAGUGGCAGACGGGUGAGGAACACGUGGGAACAUCCCUUUCAGUUCGGAAUAACGUUGGGAAACUAACGCUAAUACCGGAUACGUCCUUCGGGAGAAAGAUUUAUCGCUGAAAGAUUGGCCCGCGUCUGAUUAGCUAGUUGGCGAGGUAAUGGCUCACCAAGGCUACGAUCAGUAGCUGAUCUGAGAGGAUGAUCAGCCACAUUGGGACUGAGACACGGCCCAAGCUCCUACGGGAGGCAGCAGUGGGGAAUAUUGGACAAUGGGCGCAAGCCUGAUCCAGCCAUGCCGCGUGAGUGAUGACGGCCUUCGGGUUGUAAAGCUCUUUUGUCCGGGAAGAUAAUGACUGUACCGGAAGAAUAAGCCCCGGCAAACUUCGUGCCAGCAGCCGCCGUAA